Molecule: RNA transcript, 2149 nt
Organism: Papaver somniferum (opium poppy)
Lineage: Eukaryota; Viridiplantae; Streptophyta; Magnoliopsida; Ranunculales; Papaveraceae
Exons: 3
Source: RefSeq, a predicted model, not a curated record
CUGGUGGUUUUGGGGUGCAAUGUUUCGAUAUUUUCUGUGUAAAUCAGGGAGAAAUCUGAAAAGGGCGACUUCCAUCAUCAAUGGAGAAUCUUCUUCUUCAUCAUCAUUAGCAGCUAAGUACUUUCCCUUUACAUUUCAAAAUCGAAAUGUUUUUGUAAUUUCAAAAUCUAGGGUUACUUCAGUCUCUUAUUCCUUCUCUACUACUACUAGUAAUGGAAGUAUCAAUGUUACUUCUGCCGGUUCUGGUUCUGGUUCUGAUUCUGAUUCUUCAUUUGUGGUUUCUUAUCUGAUUGAUUCAUGUGGGUUAUCUGAAUCUGAAGCUAUUACUGCUUCUAAGAAACUCAAUUUCAAAACCACUUCUAAACCCAAUUCAGUGGUAUCCCUACUUAAGACUUACGGAUUUACUGAAUCCCACAUCUCUAAAUUAAUCCCUAGAUACCCAUCCAUCCUCUCAUCUAAUCCUCAUAAAACCCUAAAACCAAAAUUAGAUUUUUUUAAAUCCAAAGGACUUUAUGGAUUUGAUCUUACAAACUUCAUAUCUAAGGAACCUUUGAUCUUGGCACGGGGUUUUAAUAAUGAAAUAAUCCCUUCUUUCGAUAUCCUUAAGAGCAUUCUUCAUUCUGACCAAAACGUCAUUAAAAUGAUUAAACGUAAUUAUAGGAUUCUCAGUUCAAACCAUGUUAAAAGAUUGAUGGUCAACCUAGAGCUUUUGAGAAAUCAAGGUGUCCCUGAACCUCAUAUUUCUAUCUAUCUAAUCAGGCAACCUACAGCGUUUAGUGGAGAUGUCGCUAAAUUUAGAAAGAUUGUUGAAAAGACUAAAGAAAUGGGUUUUCAUCCCUUUAAUACUAUGUUUCUCGUAGCUAUACAAGGACUUGCAUCAAUGUCCGAAGCCAAUUGGAGAGAAAAAAAAGAUGUUUACAAGAGAUGGGGUUGGUCUGAGGAUCACAUUCAAACAGCAUUUAGGAAAUUUCCUUAUUGUAUGACGGUCUCUGAAAAAAAGAUCAUGGCGGUUAUGAAUUUCCUUGUGAACGAAAUGGGUUAUAAUUCAUUAAGUAUUUCCACAACCCCGGUAGUUUUUUGCUAUAGCCUGAAGGACAGGAUUAUCCCAAGGUGUUCAGUUAUCAGGAUUUUAGUCUCCAAGGGUCUGAUUCAGGAAAAAAAUUGUAUUAAUUCACUUUCAACAAUGGUUGACAAGUCUUUUCUGGAGAAAUUUGUCAAGAAGUACGAGGAAGAAGUUCCUGAAAUAAUGAAGGUGUUCCAGUGCCAGCUUAAAUACCAAGACCUACUUCAGAGGUGAAGGAUCUGAUGAGAUGAAUGUGUGGGUACAGUGUUCAAGAGACAUGAUUUAGUGACAGGAUGUGAGUGACAUGGGUUGACCAUGCUCAAAAGGAGCAGCAAGAUUCUAAAACCAAUUGCAAUGUCAGGUCUCAGCAUUCGAACAUUAUAUCUGAUGGUGAGAUGGACCCAUUACUUCCAGUGGAGGAGAACCCUCUCAGUAGCCCAAAAUCCGCAAGAAGCUAUGGUGACACACAUUUAGAGAUCAUCGAACAUCCGACAUGAGAAUUGGGCCUGGUUAGAAUCUACCAUGGUCUCUAUAUUUGUCAUUUUCCACGGUCAAAGUAACCACCAAAUUUGAUUCCCUCUCAUUAGUCAUUUCCUCUACCUGGUUUUCGAGGCAAGGAAGUUGGUUUGAGCUUGGUCUAUAUUGUUCUUUUCUCUCUGCUAUUGCUUUAACUCCAUACAGAGAUCCUUCACUCCAAGUCCAUGGCUAUACUUGGAAUCAUAUCUACUGCUUUUGAGAGGAAUAGAGAGAAAAUAGCAGAGGAAAGGGAUAUGUUCAUUUAACAUCCAGCAGGAAACGUUCUCACAACAUUAGCAAACUUCUUAUCAGAAGCUAUACAUAUACUGAAAACUUAGAUGUGUACCAGCUCUGUUGUACAUUUUUCUUUGUAUUUUCUGAUAUACUGGUAAUUGGCAAUAUUUUGAGUGAGAGAUCUUUUUAAACCAAGAGACAAGGGGUUCUGACGACGAUUAAGCUAAUUGUUACUUUUGUUUGUACAAUUUGUUGAUUCGAACCAACCACUGGACAGAGUACUUGUAAUCAUCUUCAGUAUAAAAGGUUUUGAUUCUGAGCUCUUUUGUACUUAAA